RNAcentral lists this ribosomal RNA (507 nucleotides) under uncultured bacterium. RNAcentral describes it as "partial 16S ribosomal RNA". It matches the Rfam family "Bacterial small subunit ribosomal RNA", at positions 28 to 507 of the family's 1533-position model. The record is from RNAcentral.
GACGAACGCUGGCGGCGUGCUUAACACAUGCAAGUCGAACGGGCCUUGUCCCCUUUUUUUUGGGGGUGGGGUUAGUGGCGAACGGGUGAGUAACACGUGAGUAACCUGCCCCUCACUUCUGGAUAACCGCUUGAAAGGGUGGCUAAUACGGGGUGUUCUGGCCUGCUCGCAUGGGUGGGUUUGGAAAGAUUCGACCGGUUUUGGUUGUUUUGGUGGGGGAUGGGCUCGCGGCCUAUCAGCUUGUUGGUGGGGUGAUGGCCUGCCAAGGCUUUGAUGGGUAGCCGGCCUGAGAGGGUGGGCGGUCACACUGGGACUGAGACACGGCCCAGACUCCUACGGGAGGCAGCAGUGGGGAAUAUUGCACAAUGGGCGCAAGCCUGAUGCAGCGACGCCGCGUGAGGGAUGGAGGCCUUCGGGUUGUGAACCUCUUUCGCCAGUGAAGAAGGUCCUGCUCUUUGUGGUGGGGUUGACGGUAGCUGGGUUAAUGAAGCGCCGGCUAACUACGUG